This 473-nucleotide ribosomal RNA is filed under the name Metellina mengei. RNAcentral's name for it is "partial small subunit ribosomal RNA". It matches the Rfam family "Bacterial large subunit ribosomal RNA", at positions 1811 to 2606 of the family's 2925-position model. Lineage: Eukaryota; Metazoa; Arthropoda; Arachnida; Araneae; Tetragnathidae. The record is from RNAcentral.
AAACAUUGCUUAAAGAACAAAUUUUAAGUAAAACCUGCUCAAUGAAUAAAUAUAUUUUAUUUAAAUAAAUAGCCGCAGAAUUUUAACUGUGCUAAGGUAGCAUAAUCAUUUGUCUUUUAAUUUAAGACUAGAAUGAACGGUUUAACAUUUUAUUUACUUUUUUAAAUUUACCCAAUCUAAAUUAUAUUAAAUAUAAAAAUAUAUUUAUAAAAAAAUUAGACGACAAGACCCUGUCGAACUUUACUUUAGUUUAGCUGGGGCAGCUACUUAAUUAAAAUUUUAAUUUAAAUAAAAUAAUAAAAGAUCCAAUAAAAUUGAUCACUUGAUCAAGUUACCGCAGGGAUAACAGCGUAAUUAUUUUUUAAAGCUCUUAUUUAAAAUUAAGAUUGCGACCUCGAUGUUGAAUUAAUUUUCUUUUUUACGAAAAAGUAUCAAAAGUAGGUCUGUUCGACCUUUAAAAUUUUACAUGAUCU